UGCAAGUCGAACGAGAACGGAUUAUAGCUUGCUAUAAUUGUCAGCUAAGUGGCGCACGGGUGAGUAAUAUAUAGAUAACCUGCCCUCUAGAAAGGAAUAACAGUUGGAAACGACUGCUAAUGCCCUAUAUGCCUUUAAUACAUAAGUAUGCAAGGGAAACGCUUUAGUGCUAGAGGAUGGGUCUGUAUGGUAUCMGCUUGUUGGUGAGGUAAUGGCUCACCAAGGCUAUGACSCCUAACUGGUUUGAGAGGAUGAUCAGUCACACUGGAACUGAGACACGGUCCAGACUCCUACGGGAGGCAGCAGUGGGGAAUAUUGCACAAUGGACGAAAGUCUGAUGCAGCAACGCCGCGUGGAGGAUGACACAUUUCGGUGCGUAAACUCCUUUUAUAUAGGAAGAUAAUGACGGUACUAUAUGAAUAAGCACCGGCUAACUCCGUGCCAGCAGCCGCGGUAAUACGGAGGGUGCAAGCGUUACUCGGAAUCACUGGGCGUAAAGAGCGUGUAGGCGGAUAUAUAAGUCA
RNAcentral lists this ribosomal RNA (524 nucleotides) under uncultured bacterium. RNAcentral's name for it is "bacterial SSU rRNA". It matches the Rfam family "Bacterial small subunit ribosomal RNA", at positions 56 to 590 of the family's 1533-position model. The record is from RNAcentral.